RNAcentral lists this ribosomal RNA (404 nucleotides) under Actinomycetes bacterium. RNAcentral's name for it is "Actinobacteria bacterium partial 16S ribosomal RNA". It matches the Rfam family "Bacterial small subunit ribosomal RNA", at positions 355 to 776 of the family's 1533-position model. Lineage: Bacteria; Bacillati; Actinomycetota; Actinomycetes. The record is from RNAcentral.
GGGGGAAUAUUGGACAAUGGGCGCAAGCCUGAUCCAGCCAUGCCGCGUGAGUGAUGAAGGCCCUAGGGUUGUAAAGUUCUUUCACCGGUGAAGAUAAUGACGGUAACCGGAGAAGAAGCCACGGCUAACUUCGUGCCAGCAGCCGCGGUAAUACGAGGGGGGCUAGCGUUGUUCGGAUUUACUGGGCGUAAAGCGCACGUAGGCGGACUUUUAAGUCAGGGGUGAAAUCCCGGGGCUCAACCCCGGAACUGCCUUUGAUACUGGAAGUCUUGAGUAUGGUGGAGGUGAGUGGAAUUCCUGGUGUAGAGGUGAAAUUCGUAGAUAUUCGGAGGAACACCAGUGGCGAAGGCGGCUCACUGGACCAUUACUGACGCUGAGGUGCGAAAGCGUGGGGAGCAAACAGG